RNAcentral lists this ribosomal RNA (702 nucleotides) under uncultured Gigaspora. RNAcentral's name for it is "eukaryotic LSU rRNA". It matches the Rfam family "Eukaryotic large subunit ribosomal RNA", at positions 38 to 648 of the family's 3401-position model. Lineage: Eukaryota; Fungi; Glomeromycota; Glomeromycetes; Diversisporales; Gigasporaceae. The record is from RNAcentral.
GCAUAUCAAUAAGCGGAGGAAAAGAAACUAACAAGGAUUCCCCUAGUAACGGCGAGUGAAGCGGGAAGAGCACAAAUUUAAAAUCUACCUGGUUUCUAGGUCGAGUUGUAAUUUGUAGAUACGUUUUUGAUGUUCCUGGUUGGACUAAAUCCUUUGGGAUAAGGUAUCAUAGAGGGUGAGAAUCCCGUGUAUACCAACCACAGGGAUGUUAUUUAAUAACGUUUCUAAGAGUCGAGUUGUUUGGGAAUGCAGCUCUAAAUGGGUGGUAAAUUUCACCUAAUGCUAAAUAUAAGCGAGAGACCGAUAGCGAACAAGUACAGUGAUGGAAAGAUGAAAAGAACUUUGAAAAGAGAGUUAAAUAGUACGUGAGAUUGUUGAAAGGGAAACGAUUGAAGUCAGUCAUGCCGGCGGGAAUCAACUUAGAGGAAACUCUGAGUGCACUUCUUCGUUUGGCAGGUUAGCGUCGAUUUUGGCUGUCAUAAAAUAAUUGGGGGAAGGUAGCUCCUUCGGGAGUGUUAUAGCCCUUGAUAGAUGUGAUGCCUGGGAUCGAGGAUUGCAACGGAUAUCCUUCGGGGGCUAGCCGCCUGAUCUCUAAUUGGUGUUGGGUUACGGACAGCAUGCUGACCGUGAUCUGAUUACUGGUUAAAAGGUUAGAGCGUGCAUAAAUUCGUUAAGGACGCUGACGUAAUGGCUUUAAACGAC